This 1372-nucleotide ribosomal RNA is filed under the name uncultured bacterium. Its description in RNAcentral is "bacterial SSU rRNA". It matches the Rfam family "Bacterial small subunit ribosomal RNA", at positions 28 to 1381 of the family's 1533-position model. The record is from RNAcentral.
GAUGAACGCUGGCGGCGUGCCUAAUACAUGCAAGUCGAGCGAACGGACGAGAAGCUUGCUUCUCUGAUGUUAGCGGCGGACGGGUGAGUAACACGUGGAUAACCUACCUAUAAGACUGGGAUAACUUCGGGAAACCGUAGCUAAUACCGGAUAAUAUUUUGAACCGCAUGGUUCAAAAGUGAAAGACGGUCUUGCUGUCACUUAUAGAUGGAUCCGCGCUGCAUUAGCUAGUUGGUAAGGUAACGGCUUACCAAGGCAACGAUGCAUAGCCGACCUGAGAGGGUGAUCGGCCACACUGGAACUGAGACACGGUCCAGACUCCUACGGGAGGCAGCAGUAGGGAAUCUUCCGCAAUGGGCGAAAGCCUGACGGAGCAACGCCGCGUGAGUGAUGAAGGUCUUCGGAUCGUAAAACUCUGUUAUUAGGGAAGAACAUAUGUGUAAGUAACUGUGCACAUCUUGACGGUACCUAAUCAGAAAGCCACGGCUAACUACGUGCCAGCAGCCGCGGUAAUACGUAGGUGGCAAGCGUUAUCCGGAAUUAUUGGGCGUAAAGCGCGCGUAGGCGGUUUUUUAAGUCUGAUGUGAAAGCCCACGGCUCAACCGUGGAGGGUCAUUGGAAACUGGAAAACUUGAGUGCAGAAGAGGAAAGUGGAAUUCCAUGUGUAGCGGUGAAAUGCGCAGAGAUAUGGAGGAACACCAGUGGCGAAGGCGACUUUCUGGUCUGUAACUGACGCUGAUGUGCGAAAGCGUGGGGAUCAAACAGGAUUAGAUACCCUGGUAGUCCACGCCGUAAACGAUGAGUGCUAAGUGUUAGGGGGUUUCCGCCCCUUAGUGCUGCAGCUAACGCAUUAAGCACUCCGCCUGGGGAGUACGACCGCAAGGUUGAAACUCAAAGGAAUUGACGGGGACCCGCACAAGCGGUGGAGCAUGUGGUUUAAUUCGAAGCAACGCGAAGAACCUUACCAAAUCUUGACAUCCUUUGACAACUCUAGAGAUAGAGCCUUCCCCUUCGGGGGACAAAGUGACAGGUGGUGCAUGGUUGUCGUCAGCUCGUGUCGUGAGAUGUUGGGUUAAGUCCCGCAACGAGCGCAACCCUUAAGCUUAGUUGCCAUCAUUAAGUUGGGCACUCUAAGUUGACUGCCGGUGACAAGCCGGAGGAAGGUGGGGAUGACGUCAAAUCAUCAUGCCCCCUAUGAUUUGGGCUACACACGUGCUACAAUGGACAAUACAAAGGGCAGCGAAACCGCGAGGUCAAGCAAAUCCCAUAAAGUUGUUCUCAGUUCGGAUUGUAGUCUGCAACUCGACUACAUGAAGCUGGAAUCGCUAGUAAUCGUAGAUCAGCAUGCUACGGUGAAUACGUUCCCGGGUCU